CUCAUCACCGGUAAGCAAAUCCUGGUAGACCAACAUGAUUGCUGAGUUUCUCUCGGAUCGAACCACACAGAAGAGAGAAGACGAAGCAGCAGAAACAAACAAGGGCGAGAGCGAGAGAGGGCUCGUGGAGCUGCGGACCAAGCAUAUUUAGAGGCAAGGGUAUGCAGAGAUCCCGGUAAUUGCACGAGACUACUUAAUUACGAAAAAGCACUUCUGUUUUCCAUUAUACCCAAUAAGCCCUCUUCUAGUGGGAUUCUGCCAUCCUAGUUUGAGCCGGACGAGAAUUUGUCGGACAAGGAAUAAAUUCUCAUGGUCAUAACAUAUUUCUGUUUU
This 333-nucleotide unclassified non-coding RNA is filed under the name Hevea brasiliensis (rubber tree). Lineage: Eukaryota; Viridiplantae; Streptophyta; Magnoliopsida; Malpighiales; Euphorbiaceae. The record is from RNAcentral.